UGUUUGAUCUGUAACAGAAACACCCUCGCUGUAAUCCCGCCUCUCAGCGGUCAGACCUGCUGAUAUCAGCACUACAGAGUGUGUGUGUGUGUGUGUGUGUGUCUGUGUGUCUGUGGUAUCGAACACCUCUAACAGUUUCACAGUUCAAGGAUUUCUGGGUUUCACUGUCUCCUGCGGCUACAGCAGAGAAACAGGCAGAAGAGAGAGAGAGAGAGAGAGAGAGAGAGAAAGAGAGAGAGAGUUAGUUUUCGUGGAGCUGAGAUUUCUGUAUCUUGUCUUGGUGGUGAAACUGAAGUGCAACUCAUCUAAUGUCAUUAAAACAUUAAAACAUCCACGUCUCACAUUUCAGUUUGACAUUAAUCCUACAGUAACGACCACGAUCAUUCAGACCGCCGAUCUGUCCUGAUGAGGGAAUAAAAACACCUGAACGGUGGUCAGUUCAGCCGGCAGGUGAAAUACUGAGUCUGAUCCAACACUUUAUGAAGUUAAGACUAAAAUAAGAUGAGAACAUGCAGAGGCAGAGCAGCAGCUCCCUGUCAGAGAAACUCUGUGUCUGUCAGAGUCGUCCUGACGUAAUAAAGUCACUUUCAUGUUUGAAACGGUUUUUCCUGAACAGGAGCUGUUUUCAUCUGUGGAGGCUGGUGUGUUCAAAAAAAGGUUAAUUUAAGACGGAGCCUGCUAGGACGCGAUAUUUUUUUUCAUAGGAUGGUAGCCAAUCAGAGGUGAAGGAGGCGGGACCUUCCCCUAUAUCACUGGGUCAAGAGCCGUCAGCGCUUAGUUUUACCCUCCCUGAGUUCCGGUAGUUAUUUGGGAAGAUCUGGUACCGAUAAUGUUUAUAAUAAUGUUUAUAUAAUAAUUCACAGAAAAAAUACCAAGAAUUUCAUGUUUAUUAAGAUUCAUCGUCAUUUUAAAACGUCGGAGAUCUGCUGACGCACUAAAAAGCGUUCGCGUUUCCUCAGAAGUCGGAGCUGAAAAUGACGUCACACCCGGUUACCAGCGUUUCAGGUACAAAGACGGAAAAAAGUAAAAUCGGAGGCUGGAAACAAGAUGGCUACGUCUACGAAGGUUAUUUUAUUGCUUGCCUUAUAUUCGGAGAGGUCAGGCGCUAAAAUAACUUUCAUAGAUGUAGCCAUCUUGUUUCAGGCCUACGAUUUCGCUUUUGUCCGACUUUGUAACUGAAAUGUUGGUAACUCGGGUGUGACGUCAUUUUCAGCGCCGGCCUCUGACUUCCGAGGUAACGCGAACGCAGCAAACAGACCACGCCCCCUGACACCGAAAAAAACCUUUAGAAACUCGCCACAGCUGAGGAGCAAACAGAGAAGAGGAGCGUUUACCAUUUUAACUUAAACAUGUCAGAAAGAGAGAGUUAAUUUUACUGUCAAGAAGGAAGAGUUUAAUGAGACUUUCAAACGAGUCAGAAAAACCUCCACAGGCGGCGGUGAGGGCAGCAGCUGCAGCGGUCAUGGUACCGGUCUAAACCGGCCACAGCAGGAGGCUCGCGCCGCUACAGCUAACCGGGUUCACCGACAGCUAACCGAGCCGGGGCAGGAGGCUGGUACCGGGGAAGGAGGCUGGUUAGGUCUACCGCCAGCAGGAGCCAGAUACAGCGGUAACAGGACCACCGACAGGCGGGUAUCCUGACAUCAGUUAACCCGGUACAACAACCGGAGAAAGAGGCGGGAACCGCGACAUCAGCAGCUAGCUUAGAGCAGGAGGAUCGAGAAGGAGAGGAGGAGGAGAGGAGAGGACUGAAGGACUGAGGGAGGUCGAGGGUGACCAAAGGACCCAGAACUUUCACAGACAGACGGAGUAAAACCCGAAAAAAGAGGAGGAGGAGAAUCCGGACAGGUUCUGAUGUGGAGGAGAUUUGGACUAAACAUGGUGAGUUUACAGUCUGUUAACAGGCCGCCGAGCCAAACUGUGAAUAAUAAUAAUAUCAGAAGAUUUGUGUGAUUUAUGAAUCACUUUUUUAACAUUAGACCUGUUGAUAAAUGAAUUUCUGACUGUUUACUGUAAGUCUCAUCUGUGGUGAUGUGGACAUUUGUCUGUGCUGUGAGGAGUAUCAGCCUAAAAUGAUUUAAAUGAUCUUCAUAACAUUUAUAACAUGGAUAUUAUUGAAACUGAGGCAGGUUAGUCAUACAUGUGGACAUUUCCAUGUUGUUUUCUGCCGGUUUUUUCUAUAUAAUCCCGGACCUGUGCCCGUCUCCUCAUCCCUGAGCUGUCUUAUGGACUUUGAGUUUACAUUAUGAUUUAAAAUGAAGAACUGGUUCAGAACACCUGUAAUAUAGAGCUCUAUCUCUGCGGGGAUCCUCUCUGUUGGACUCUGAGAAGAACUACUGAAGCCUGUCAGGGACAAAAGUAAGACCGUUCACUGACACACUGAAUCCUGGUAGAUAUUAAUAAUAAUAAUAUAAUAACUUUAUUUUUAUAGCACUUUUAAAAACAUAAGUUUACAAAGUGUUUGACAAACAGUUAUAAAGCAACAGAACAUGGAAAUAAAAACAAAAGCUCAGUUAAAAACAAGACGUCUGAACUAAAGGACAAUUUCAUUUGUUAUAAGAAACUCAGAAAAUUCAAGAGGGGGGUAGAAAACAGGAAGCAGGACAUAAAAUAUAAAAAGACGAUAUUAAUAAUGAUAAUAACAACAUAAAAUCAUAAUGAUGGAAAUAGUAAUGAUAAAAUGGAAUAACAAAAAUGAGCAGAAAAAAGAAUGAAAUCUCUAAAAGGCCUAAAAGGUUAAAUAAGAAACUAUUAUAAGUAAAACAAAGGCUAAAAGGACAGGAAGUCGAAAUAAGAGAAAAGAGAGCAAAAAAAACUAUUAAAUCAAGUCUGUAAAAGUGAGUUUUUAGAUUUGACUUAAAGAAGUGACUGUCUCUGCUGUUCGCCUUAUCUCCUGGGCUCUGAUACUCCCGUCUGUACGGCCUGUUUCUCUGCUGCUGAGCGAAUUAUCCACAGGAGGUCGUUCGAACCUUUUGGUCCUUCUGUAAAUACAGCUGCUUUUUUUUUUAAAGGGUGUGUCAGUGACUAAAACAGAGUUAAUCUUUGCCUUUGUCUCCCCCACUUUAAGUUUCCACGCUCCUCUGUCUCCCCCUUUUUCCUCACCCCUCAGUGUGUUGUUGUCGCCUUGGCUCAGACUCUCCCCUGGGUGGAGGGUGGAGGGUGGGAGCUGCCUCACCUUCUCCUCUCAGGUUUCAGGGAGGGAGACGACCGCAGAGGAGCGUGAAUAAUUCAGCCAGCCGCCAACACCGGGCAUCGCCUUUCCACUGCGCGCACACACACACACACACACACACACACACACGCGCGCGUCAUAACACACACACGUCAAAACACACACACGUCAAAACACACACACGGCGUGACCUGAUAUGCCCUCACAGCGACCAGCUAAAGGUCAGCAGGUCAGAGUGAGACUAACAGCCUCCUCUGUGCAGACAGAACACGGCUCCUAUCACGGGUUCAUUCAUGGAGAUUCAACCAAUCAGGUCAGUUUGAGGAGGAAAACCCUCUGAUUGUUCCUCUGAGGACACUUCAUUUUAAAGACCAGAUGAUCAUGUGAUCAGGGACGAUCGAGUGAAACUUCAGAGAUGAAGACAGGGAGGUUAAAGUAUCAAAAAUCAGCAACUGAAGUGUGAGAGCGGGUGACUUAUGGAAGAAUAUAAAGAGUUAAUGAUGGAGGAGCUGAGGUGGUAUAUGAAGGGUUAAUGAUGGAGGUGGUAUAUGAAGGGUUAAUGAUGGAGGUGGUUAAUAAAGGGUUAAUGACGGAGCUAAGGCUGCUGGGAAAUGGCAGUCCUCAGGUGAGGUCAUGCCUGACUGACACAUGGCUGCAGGCGUUGCUGUGAGCGAUGCAGACAGUCAUGAUUAAAUAUACCGUAAUUACCUGAAUAUAAGCCCCCCCCCAGAUCUGUAAAGGACAAAUGAGAUUUAGGAAAUUAAAUGGAAAUAAAAACAGACCCAAAAAUAAAAUGACUUGUUUUUAAUGUCUUUUUAACAAAAUUAUGAUCAUGAUGUCUUUAAUUAAAUCGUUAAUCGUGUGUAAAUAAAGCACCAUUGACACAGAGAAAGAACAGAUCUACUGACACUAGAAUCCAGCCAUGACUACGACGGACUUUCAGGGUCACAUCAGGAAAAAAAAAGAUUAAAGUGAUUAACUUAUAAGAAUGAGGUUAUUACUAAUGAGAAUAAAGUCGUAAAAAAGUAAUUAUUUAUAAGAAUAAAAUAUUAAUACAGUAAUAACUUAUGAGAAUAAAGUCAUGAUAAAGUAAUCUCUUAUAAGAAUAAAGCCUUAAAUAAUUUCUCAUAAGAAUGAAGUCGUAGUAAAAUAAUGAAUUAUAAGAAUAAAGUCGCGAAAGUAAUUACUUAUGAGAAUUAGGUUGUAAUUAAGUAAUUACUUAUAAGAAGAAAGUUAAUAUAAAGUUAUUACUCGUGUAAUUCAAGUUGUAAUAAAGUAAUUAUGAAGAUAAAGAAUGUGAUUAAAUUAUUACUUAUAAGAAUAAAGUUGUAAUAAGGUAAUUACUGAAAUGAGAGCCAUAAUUAGUAAUUAGCCUACUUUAUUCUGACUUUAGUUAGUAAUGACUUUAUUCUCAUAAAUUAACGACUUUAAUCUCGAAGUCUUGUGUUGUUUCUAAAUGUGGCCCUGAUACUCCGUGGGACAUUACAGAUCUGUCUCACUUAUUUCUAUUCUGAGGACCGACUGUGAGGUCUGCUUCGGGCUGCUCUCACCUGUAACUGCACCGUCAGCUGAUCACAGAUACAGCCUCUGAUUGGUUGACAGACCAAAACAAAGAUGGCAGCCUGAAUAGAGUACAGUCAGCUAACAACACGGGCUCACCGUAGGAGACAGCCUCUAGUGGACAGGAGAAGAACUGCAGUUUUUCUGUUCUACCCUAUCAUAUUUUAAAAUGAGAGGAUAUUAAUGAGUCCUGUCAGCUCAUUUCUGCUGCCCCCUGGUGGACAGUUGGGACAUUACUGCAGGAUUAGAAACUUUAGAAUCUUUUAGUUUUAGGACUCUUCGUUCAGUUUUUUAGAGGAAAGUUUAGUGUGUUUGUGUCUGUGAGCACGCCACGGCCUCAUCCAUCCACGCUGAGCCACAAAAUAAGGUGACACCACCUUAACGGAGGGCCACAGACACGCCCCCCUGAACCCAGCCCCCACCCCCACACUCAUAAUGAAAGACCAAUUAGAGAGGAGGAUUAAGGCGCUACACGUCCACACACAAAUUAGCAUUAAUCAAAGAGUCACUGAUGUGUGUGUGUGUGUGUGUGUGUGUGUGUGUGUGUGUGUGUUGUCCUCAGUGAAUAGUGAUGAGCUGCAGGCUCAGUGUGAAGUCGUAUAAUCGCUGCUGGUGUUUCUGAUCGAUACCACACCCACCGCCAAGCCCGGCCAAUGGGAGCAGGUUUCCAGCAGGUGUGUGUGCGUGUGUGUGUUAACUCAUCCUGCAGUCACGUUAAACCCGGACAAAAAGCACACGUUGGUAAAGUUUUCGGUCUCUCUCUCUUAGGUUUAUCCGCUCAGCUCUCUUGUUUGAAUCAAGUCCAGAGAAACCGGAUCAGAACCGAUCAGUUUGGGUCUGUAUGAAUUUACUGUAGAAACAUCACAAACCGUCAGAGACCGGGGUUCAGGACUCCAGUUUUGUUAGCUGUGGUCACCGUGGUUACCGGUUAGUGUACCCUCUACAUUUUCAGGGUGAGUCCAGCUCCAGGAUAAGAAGUCUAACUCAUGAACCGGAUCAGAUGGUCACGGGUCAAAAUUACUGAGAUGAUCGACAGGAACUUUUGUGGUUCCCCCUCAAAUCUGUGACCUUAUGAAACGUUCACUCAGGAGAGGUUGGAUCACCACCUUAGCUGUGCUUAGGGCUGAGCGAUAUGGGAAAAAGUUUAUCACGAUAUUUUUUUUCCAUAUCAGUCGAUAUCGAUACAGAUCACAAUAUCAAAAAUCACUUUUAACAUUUAACAUGAACUCGACAUAAUUUACAGUCCACAUUACUCUGCUUCAUGUCCGACCUCCAAAAACCAAAAUACCUCCACACCACCGACGUUUUCCUAACGCCAGUGUUGUGGUUGACAUUGAUGUGGUCAUCUGUUGAGCCUUCAUGGUCAUUUCUGUCGGGGGUAGCACUCAUUUUCUUUGUUUCUCACCAACAGUGCUGUCGGCUUCACCUGUUAAAGUGCUAUGGUUGGGUGGAGCUGCUGUCUGCUACGACGCUGCAGUUGGUUGAUACUUGGUUCUAAUUCAGAACAUGAUUGGUUCAGACCCGGAGAAACUCCCCUUUUCAUUGGCUGUUCGUAUAGUCGACCAAAACAUGUCAGAAUGACGACUAUUGAUAAGCUUAUUGAUCAUGUUUGAUAUUGAUAUUGAGGGAAAUUAAUGUUGGAUAUAUAUCAUUAACGUUUUAUCGCCCAGCCCUACUUCCCUCUGCAGUUUACUAACUUAUGGAGAUUAAUGUUUAUAUUUUGGUUUUUCGGCACCAUCAGCUGGUUUUCUUUGGUUUCUGUUUGAAGAACUUUACUUGAGUUGAACUCUCUGAUAUUUCUGUUUCCUCCCUGAUCUUUGACUCUCCUCUCUCUUUGAGAUCGAUCCUGCUGUUUCUCCGUCUCUGGGAUAACGUCAGUGAGUGUCUGUAAGAAAAUGGUCUCAUGUAGUUUUCAGUCUUUAACAGGACCUGUGACCCCGACCUGAUGAAGCUCAAUCAGAACUUUUUAAUCUGAAAUCGUUGUUUUCCAAACAUUUCUCUUAUUUUAGUUAAAUAUAAUUUUUCAAACACUUUUUUACACUUAAAAACACUUUAAAGAUUAUUAUCAUUCCAACAUUUUGAACUCUAAAUAUGGACCGAUCUCCAAAAUGGUUUUUCACUGUCUCUGAAUAAGAAAGCUGUUAAAUUACUGAUGUACUCCUUACUGAUGAGCAUCGUGUUUUUGAAGCAAAGCGAAGAGAAGGUUUGUUUUUAGAUUCUGAGUCAGGGCGAAACUGAGACUCUAGACAGACAGACAGACAACAGGAAACCAGAGUGAAGAGAGACUAUUACAGUGAAACUGAGACUCUGUGAGGAUGUCCUUCAGUGAGAAAUGUUUUUUUGACGUAUUAAAUUCUUCCUCUCUUUUUACAUGAACCUUUGUUUGUUUGCUGUAGUUUACUCGAUUUUGCUUUAGUUUCCUGGAGUUUGCUGUGGUUUUCUGUACUUUAGUGUCGUUAAGUGUACUUUAGUGUAGUUUAGUGUAGUUCCCUUAAGUUUACUGGAGUUUCCUAAAGUUAACUGGAAGUUACUUGAGUUUACUGUGGUUAUCUGUAGUUUCCUGUGAGUACCUGUAGUUUGAGAACAAAGUAAAGGCCCGUUCCUGUAUCAGACUCUUACAGUAGUUUGCUGUAGUUUCCUGUGAGUACCUGUAGUUUCCUGUAGUUAUCUGUAGUUAUCUGUAGUUUGCUGUAGUUUGAGAACAAAGUGAAGGCCCGUUCCUGUAUCAGACUCUCACAGUAGUUUUCUGUAGUUAUCUGUAGUUUUCUGUAGUUUGAGAACAAAGUAAAGGCCCGUUCCUGUAUCAGACUCUUACAGUAGUUAUCUGUAGUUUGCUGUAGUUUUCUGUAGUUAUCUGUAGUUACCUGUAGUUUUCUGUAGUUAUCUGUAGUUUUCUGUAGUUUGAGAACAAAGUAAAGGCCCGUUCCUGUAUCAGACUCUCACAGUAGUUUUCUGUAGUUAUCUGUAGUUUGCUGUAGUUAUCUGUAGUUUCCUGUGUGUACCUGUAGUUUGCUGUAGUCUGAGAACAAAGUAAAGGCCCGUUCCUGUAUCAGACUCUUACAGUAGUUUGCUGUAGUUUGCUGUAGUUAUCUGUAGUUUCAUGUAGUUUCAUGUAGUUAUCUGUAGUUUGAGAACAAAGUAAAGGCCCGUUCCUGUAUCAGACUCUCACAGUAGUUAUCUGUAGUUUUCUGUAGUUAUCUGUAGUUUGCUGUAGUCUGAGAACAAAGUGAAGGCCCGUUUCUGUAUCAGACUCUUACAGUAGUUUUCUGUAGUUUCCUGUAGUUUGCUGUAGUUAUCUGUAGUUACCUGUAGUUUGCUGUAGUUAUCUGUAGUUACCUGUAGUUUGAGAACAAAGUGAAGGCCCGUUCCUGUAUCAGACUCUCACAGUAGUUAUCUGUAGUUGUCUGUAGUUUUCUGUAGUUACCUGUAGUUUGCUGUAGUUUGCUGUAGUCUGAGAACAAAGUAAAGGCCCAUUCCUGUAUCAGACUCUUACAGUAGUUUGCUGUAGUUUGCUGUAGUUAUCUGUAGUCAUCUGUAGUUUGCUGUAGUUUUCUGUAGUUAUCUGUAGUUUCCUGUAGUUGUAGUUUCUGUAGUUUCCUGUAGUUAUCUGUAGUUUGCUGUAGUUUUCUGUAGUUUUCUGUAGUUUGAGAACAAAGUAAAGGCCCGUUUCUGUAUCAGACAAUCACAGCUCUGAUAUCAGCAGGUUCAACUCCGACACAAAGCCCUGACUGUGGAGGGAAAUCUGCUGAUUAAAGAGCUAAUAUACACCCCUCCCUCCCUCCUCCUCCUCCUCCUCCUCUUCAUCCCUCUCUUUCUCCUCCUCCUCCUCUUUGUCUCCUUCAAGGUUCUUCAAACAGAGCUGGUCAGGAUUUAAGGCGUCUGAUCUUUAAAUAUGAUUUUAUCUCCCUGCAGAGGAGACAUUUACUCUGACAGGUCGACGUCUCCCCUGAGGAGGAAACUUACCCUCCUCCUCCUCCUCCUCUUCUUCCUCCUCCCUCUCUCUCCUCUCAUCUCCUCCUCUCUUAUUAUCUCGUGUCAUCUUGACUCUCUCUCCUCCACAUCCUCUCAUCCCUCUUCAUGUGCUCUCUCUCUCUCUCUGUCCUCCUCACCUCAUUUCUCCU
This 8853-nucleotide long non-coding RNA is filed under the name Xyrichtys novacula (pearly razorfish). The record is from RNAcentral. Lineage: Eukaryota; Metazoa; Chordata; Actinopteri; Labriformes; Labridae.